CUGUGUGGUGGCAGGGAGGUGGCAAUGUGAAGGGUUGUUUCCUCUGCAUGAUGCUACAACUGAUUGAGUUGGAAAAAGGCUGGGAAAAGCCUUUAAAUGGAAAUCUCAGACACGGACCUUGUUUUUCCUGCCAGAAGUAGAGACUUUGUUGUUGUGAAUGUUGAAGCUGUGGUGAGCCUAGAUGUCAUAAUCACCUCUCCCUGGUAGUGAGCCAGCAGUUAGAGAGGAGGGACCUGUUGAAAGGCUGUGGGGAUGUAGGGCAUAGUUGCGAGCCCCACUCACUGUCACUGUCUUCUCUUCAAUUGUGGGCUUUUGAAGACUAGUCCUCUCUUUUGGGUCCUGGAAACUGAGAUGCUGUGCAGUAUAAUUCCUAAUAUUAAUUUCAUGUCAAGGGAAAACAACCUAGCUGCUGCUCUCCAAAGCCCCUCUGAGUCAAAGAAACAGCUUGAUGCUGAUGGAUGGUGACUUGCAUGGCCUGACCCCCGCCCAUGGUCCGACUUUCCUCCAGCUGAGGGAAACUCUCACUUCCAAUUGGAAGUGUUGGUGUAGUCUCUGGUUCGGUUGUUAAUUCAUAAUUAAAAUUCCUAGUUGGUCA
Molecule: long non-coding RNA, 595 nt
Organism: Pseudopipra pipra
Lineage: Eukaryota; Metazoa; Chordata; Aves; Passeriformes; Pipridae
Exons: 2
Source: RefSeq, a predicted model, not a curated record